CCCUGGUUCCCCUCUUCUCUUCCUUGACCACUUUUCUGCCUGGCUACCCUAUUUCCUCUCUUCUAACAUCCCAUCUCUAAUUCUCGGGGACUUCAAUAUUCCUAUAAACCCACCUUUGACCUCUGCAGCCAAUAAACUACUUUCAAUUACUUCCUCCCUCGGGCUAUCACAGUGGGCAAAUUCUCCCACCCAUGUAGCUGGCAAUACCCUUGAC
This is a non-coding RNA of Pelobates cultripes (western spadefoot toad), 214 nucleotides long. Lineage: Eukaryota; Metazoa; Chordata; Amphibia; Anura; Pelobatidae. The record is from the annotation of a GenBank genome assembly.